This 62-nucleotide transfer RNA is filed under the name Cheumatopsyche infascia. RNAcentral's name for it is "tRNA-Ser". The record is from RNAcentral. Lineage: Eukaryota; Metazoa; Arthropoda; Insecta; Trichoptera; Hydropsychidae.
GAAAUAUAUCUAAUUUAAACUUCUAAUUUAAACUUUAAGUGAUUAAUUUCAUUUUUAUUUCA